This 464-nucleotide ribosomal RNA is filed under the name uncultured bacterium. Its description in RNAcentral is "partial 16S ribosomal RNA". It matches the Rfam family "Bacterial small subunit ribosomal RNA", at positions 339 to 795 of the family's 1533-position model. The record is from RNAcentral.
CUACGGGUUGCAGCAGUGGGGAAUAUUGCACAAUGGGCGCAAGCCUGAUGCAGCCAUGCCGCGUGUAUGAAGAAGGCCUUCGGGUUGUAAAGUACUUUCAGCGGGGAGGAAGGGAGUAGAGUUAAUACCUUUGCUCAUUGACGUUACCCGCAGAAGAAGCACCGGCUAACUCCGUGCCAGCAGCCGCGGUAAUACGGAGGGUGCAAGCGUUAAUCGGAAUUACUGGGCGUAAAGCGCACGCAGGCGGUUUGUUAAGUCAGAUGUGAAAUCCCCGGGCUCAACCUGGGAACUGCAUCUGAUACUGGCAAGCUUGAGUCUCGUAGAGGGGGGUAGAAUUCCAGGUGUAGCGGUGAAAUGCGUAGAGAUCUGGAGGAAUACCGGUGGCGAAGGCGGCCCCCUGGACGAAGACUGACGCUCAGGUGCGAAAGCGUGGGGAGCAAUCAGGAUUAGAUACCCGAGUAGUC